AGUCUAUGGUGUGGGCAGCAUUUAAGUAGGUCCUUGUAUCUCUCCCAGUUGUGGUACAUUGACUCAUUGUCAAACUGCAUAAAAGAUGAUAUGUCAUUUCUAAGUUU
This 107-nucleotide small nucleolar RNA is filed under the name Ricinus communis (castor bean). Its description in RNAcentral is "Plant small nucleolar RNA R71". It matches the Rfam family "Plant small nucleolar RNA R71". From Rfam's summary of the family: R71 is a member of the C/D box family of snoRNAs containing the C (UGAUGA) and D (CUGA) box motifs. Lineage: Eukaryota; Viridiplantae; Streptophyta; Magnoliopsida; Malpighiales; Euphorbiaceae. The record is from Rfam by way of RNAcentral.